This 203-nucleotide long non-coding RNA is filed under the name Manihot esculenta (cassava). RNAcentral's name for it is "long non-coding RNA (MESC_LNC012753)". Lineage: Eukaryota; Viridiplantae; Streptophyta; Magnoliopsida; Malpighiales; Euphorbiaceae. The record is from RNAcentral.
UUGUCGAAGCCGGUCAAAAAUAACCUUUCUGGUUAUCAACAAUUUACAACUGCAGAUAGUGGUGAAAGGAUUGAAUCCACAGGAAAUUGAAGACUUACCUAUUUUCCUUAUCAAGACCAAUAAAAUAAACUGAAACAAAAAUAAACUGCAAAAGAAGAAAACUGAAAACGAGAUAAACUGAAACGAGAUAAAACUGAAACGAG